CCGUGUGGCAAUCCAGAGGCGUGAUGCGGACCGAACUAAAGUAGGGAAGUGUGUGAGCCAUGAAUCAAGAAAAGCCGCUAUUGUUUUUAAGAUACCCGUACCGUAAACCGACACAGGUGGAUGAGGAGAGAAUCCUAAGGCCGGCGGAAGAAGCAUUGUUAAGGAACUCGGCAAAAUGACCCCGUAACUUCGGGAGAAGGGGUGCCAACGAGAGUUGGCCGCAGAGAAUAGGCUCAAGCAACUGUUUAGCAAAAACACAGGUCUAUGCAAAACCGUAAGGUGAGGUAUAUGGGCUGACGCCUGCCCGGUGCUGGAAGGUUAAGAGGAGAGGUUAGCGCAAGCGAAGCUUUGAAUUUAAGCCCCAGUAAACGGCGGCCGUAACUAUAACGGUCCUAAGGUAGCGAAAUUCCUUGUCGGGUAAGUUCCGACCCGCACGAAAGGCGUAAUGAUUUGAGCGCUGUCUCGACAAUGCAUCCGGUGAAAUUGAAGUACCAGUGAAGAUGCUGGUUACCCGCGCCAGGACGGAAAGACCCCAUGGAGCUUUACUCCAGUUUGGUACUGGGGUCCGGCAGUGCAUGUACAGGAUAGGUGGGAGGCUGAGAACCUGGAACGCCAGUUUCAGGGGAGCCAUUGUUGGGAUACCACCCUUGUGCUGCUGGGCUUCUAACCAGCGGCCUUUAUCAGGCCGGGGGACAAUGCCAGACGGGGAGUUUGACUGGGGCGGUCGCCUCCGAAAGGGUAUCGGAGGCGCUCAAAGGUUCCCUCAGAAUGGUCGGAAACCAUUCGAAGAGUGCAAAGGCAGAAGGGAGCUUGACUGCGACACCGACGGGUGGAGCAGGUACGAAAGUAGGACUUAGUGAUCCGGUGGUAUUAAGUGGGAAUGCCAUCGCUCAACGGAUAAAAGCUACCCUGGGAUAACAGGCUUAUCACUCCCAAGAGUUCACAUCGACGGAGUGGUUUGGCACCUCGAUGUCGGCUCAUCGCAUCCUGGGGCUGUAGUAGGUCCCAAGGGUUGGGCUGUUCGCCCAUUAAAGCGGUACGCGAGCUGGGUUCAGAACGUCGUGAGACAGUUCGGUCCCUAUCCGGCGUGGGCGUAGGAUAUUUGAGAGGAGCUGUCCUUAGUACGAGAGGACCGGGAUGGACUGACCUCUGGUGUACCGGUUGAACCGCCAGGUUCACGGCCGGGUAGCCAAGUCGGGAAGGGAUAAACGCUGAAGGCAUCUAAGCGUGAAGCCCCCCUCAAGAUGAGAUAUCCCAUUCGAAAGAAGUAAGACCCCUUGAAGACGACGAGGUAGAUAGGGCAGAGGUGGAAGUGCCGUAAGGCAUGGAGCUGACUGUUACUAAUCGGUCGAGGGCUUGAC
Molecule: ribosomal RNA, 1361 nt
Filed under: metagenome
Description: bacterial LSU rRNA
Rfam family: Bacterial large subunit ribosomal RNA
Source: RNAcentral